UCAAGUGAAGAAGCGCAUACGGUGGAUGCCUUGGCAGUCAGAGGCGAUGAAAGACGUGGUAGCCUGCGAAAAGCUUCGGGGAGUCGGCAAACAGACUUUGAUCCGGAGAUGUCUGAAUGGGGGAACCCAGCCAUCAUAAGAUGGUUAUCUUGUACUGAAUACAUAGGUGCAAGAGGCGAACCAGGGGAACUGAAACAUCUAAGUACCCUGAGGAAAAGAAAUCAACCGAGAUUCCCUUAGUAGUGGCGAGCGAACGGGGACUAGCCCUUAAGUGGCUUUGAGAUUAGCGGAACGCUCUGGAAAGUGCGGCCAUAGUGGGUGAUAGCCCUGUACGCGAAAAUCUCUUAGUCAUGAAAUCGAGUAGGACGGAGCACGAGAAACUUUGUCUGAAUAUGGGGGGACCAUCCUCCAAGGCUAAAUACUACUGACUGACCGAUAGUGAACUAGUACCGUGAGGGAAAGGCGAAAAGAACCCCGGAGAGGGGAGUGAAAUAGAUCCUGAAACCGUAUGCGUACAAGCAGUGGGAGCCUACUUUGUUAGGUGACUGCGUACCUUUUGUAUAAUGGGUCAGCGACUUAUUUUCAGUGGCGAGCUUAACCGAAUAGGGGAGGCGUAGCGAAAGCGAGUCUUAAUAGGGCGUCUAGUCGCUGGGAAUAGACCCGAAACCGGGCGAUCUAUCCAUGGGCAGGUUGAAGGUUGGGUAACACUAACUGGAGGACCGAACCGACUACCGUUGAAAAGUUAGCGGAUGACCUGUGGAUCGGAGUGAAAGGCUAAUCAAGCUCGGAGAUAGCUGGUUCUCCUCGAAAGCUAUUUAGGUAGCGCCUCAUGUAUCACUGUAGGGGGUAGAGCACUGUUUCGGCUAGGGGGUCAUCCCGACUUACCAAACCGAUGCAAACUCCGAAUACCUACAAGUGCCGAGCAUGGGAGACACACGGCGGGUGCUAACGUCCGUCGUGAAAAGGGAAACAACCCAGACCGUCAGCUAAGGUCCCAAAGUUAUGGUUAAGUGGGAAACGAUGUGGGAAGGCUUAGACAGCUAGGAGGUUGGCUUAGAAGCAGCCACCCUUUAAAGAAAGCGUAAUAGCUCACUAGUCGAGUCGGCCUGCGCGGAAGAUGUAACGGGGCUCAAACCAUACACCGAAGCUACGGGUAUCACGUAAGUGAUGCGGUAGAGGAGCGUUCUGUAAGCCUGUGAAGGUGAGUUGAGAAGCUUGCUGGAGGUAUCAGAAGUGCGAAUGCUGACAUGAGUAACGACAAUGGGUGUGAAAAACACCCACGCCGAAAGACCAAGGUUUCCUGCGCAACGUUAAUCGACGCAGGGUUAGUCGGUCCCUAAGGCGAGGCUGAAAAGCGUAGUCGAUGGAAAACAGGUUAAUAUUCCUGUACUUCUGGUUAUUGCGAUGGAGGGACGGAGAAGGCUAGGCCAGCUUGGCGUUGGUUGUCCAAGUUUAAGGUGGUAGGCUGAGAUCUUAGGUAAAUCCGGGAUCUUAAGGCCGAGAGCUGAUGACGAGCUAACUUUUAGUUAGCGAAGUGGUUGAUGCCAUGCUUCCAAGAAAAGCUUCUAAGCUUCAGGUAACCAGGAACCGUACCCCAAACCGACACAGGUGGUUGGGUAGAGAAUACCAAGGCGCUUGAGAGAACUCGGGUGAAGGAACUAGGCAAAAUGGCACCGUAACUUCGGGAGAAGGUGCGCCGGUGAGGGUGAAGGACUUGCUCCGUAAGCUCAUGCCGGUCGAAGAUACCAGGCCGCUGCGACUGUUUAUUAAAAACACAGCACUCUGCAAACACGAAAGUGGACGUAUAGGGUGUGACGCCUGCCCGGUGCCGGAAGGUUAAUUGAUGGGGUUAGCUAACGCGAAGCUCUUGAUCGAAGCCCCGGUAAACGGCGGCCGUAACUAUAACGGUCCUAAGGUAGCGAAAUUCCUUGUCGGGUAAGUUCCGACCUGCACGAAUGGCGUAACGAUGGCGGCGCUGUCUCCACCCGAGACUCAGUGAAAUUGAAAUCGCUGUGAAGAUGCAGUGUAUCCGCGGCUAGACGGAAAGACCCCGUGAACCUUUACUAUAGCUUUGCACUGGACUUUGAAUUUGCUUGUGUAGGAUAGGUGGGAGGCUUUGAAGCGUGGACGCCAGUUCGCGUGGAGCCAUCCUUGAAAUACCACCCUGGCAACUUUGAGGUUCUAACUCAGGUCCGUUAUCCGGAUCGAGGACAGUGUAUGGUGGGUAGUUUGACUGGGGCGGUCUCCUCCUAAAGAGUAACGGAGGAGUACGAAGGUGCGCUCAGACCGGUCGGAAAUCGGUCGUAGAGUAUAAAGGCAAAAGCGCGCUUGACUGCGAGACAGACACGUCGAGCAGGUACGAAAGUAGGUCUUAGUGAUCCGGUGGUUCUGUAUGGAAGGGCCAUCGCUCAACGGAUAAAAGGUACUCCGGGGAUAACAGGCUGAUACCGCCCAAGAGUUCAUAUCGACGGCGGUGUUUGGCACCUCGAUGUCGGCUCAUCACAUCCUGGGGCUGAAGCCGGUCCCAAGGGUAUGGCUGUUCGCCAUUUAAAGUGGUACGCGAGCUGGGUUUAGAACGUCGUGAGACAGUUCGGUCCCUAUCUGCCGUGGACGUUUGAGAUUUGAGAGGGGCUGCUCCUAGUACGAGAGGACCGGAGUGGACGAACCUCUGGUGUUCCGGUUGUCACGCCAGUGGCAUUGCCGGGUAGCUAUGUUCGGAAUAGAUAACCGCUGAAAGCAUCUAAGCGGGAAACUAGCCUCAAGAUGAGAUCUCACUGGAACCUUGAGUUCCCUGAAGGGCCGUCGAAGACUACGACGUUGAUAGGUUGGGUGUGUAAGCGCUGUGAGGCGUUGAGCUAACCAAUACUAAUUGCCCGUGAGGCUUGACC
Molecule: ribosomal RNA, 2888 nt
Filed under: Pseudomonas fluorescens
Lineage: Bacteria; Pseudomonadati; Pseudomonadota; Gammaproteobacteria; Pseudomonadales; Pseudomonadaceae
Description: 23S ribosomal RNA
Rfam family: Bacterial large subunit ribosomal RNA
Source: RNAcentral